AUUGAACGCUGGCGGCAGGCUUAACACAUGCAAGUCGAACGGUAACAUGAAGAAGCUUGCUUCUUUGAUGACGAGUGGCGGACGGGUGAGUAAUGCUUGGGAAUCUAGCUUAUGGAGGGGGAUAACUACGGGAAACUGUAGCUAAUACCGCGUAGAAUCGAGAGAUGAAAGUGUGGGACCUUCGGGCCACAUGCCAUAGGAUGAGCCCAAGUGGGAUUAGGUAGUUGGUGAGGUAAAGGCUCACCAAGCCGACGAUCUCUAGCUGGUCUGAGAGGAUGACCAGCCACACUGGGACUGAGACACGGCCCAGACUCCUACGGGAGGCAGCAGUGGGGAAUAUUGCGCAAUGGGGGCAACCCUGACGCAGCCAUGCCGCGUGAAUGAAGAAGGCCUUCGGGUUGUAAAGUUCUUUCGGUAGCGAGGAAGGCAUUUAGUUUAAUAGACUAGGUGAUUGACGUAA
Molecule: ribosomal RNA, 460 nt
Filed under: Terrahaemophilus aromaticivorans
Lineage: Bacteria; Pseudomonadati; Pseudomonadota; Gammaproteobacteria; Pasteurellales; Pasteurellaceae
Description: bacterial SSU rRNA
Rfam family: Bacterial small subunit ribosomal RNA
Source: RNAcentral